AGAGUUUGAUCCUGGCUCAGAGCGAACGCUGGCGGCAGGCUUAACACAUGCAAGUCGAGCGGGCGUAGCAAUACGUCAGCGGCAGACGGGUGAGUAACGCGUGGGAACAUACCUUUUGGUUCGGAACAACACAGGGAAACUUGUGCUAAUACCGGAUAAGCCCUUACGGGGAAAGAUUUAUCGCCGAAAGAUUGGCCCGCGUCUGAUUAGCUAGUUGGUGAGGUAACGGCUCACCAAGGCGACGAUCAGUAGCUGGUCUGAGAGGAUGAUCAGCCACAUUGGGACUGAGACACGGCCCAAACUCCUACGGGAGGCAGCAGUGGGGAAUAUUGGACAAUGGGCGCAAGCCUGAUCCAGCCAUGCCGCGUGAGUGAUGAAGGCCCUAGGGUUGUAAAGCUCUUUUGUGCGGGAAGAUAAUGACGGUACCGCAAGAAUAAGCCCCGGCUAACUUCGUGCCAGCAGCCGCGGUAAUACGAAGGGGGCUAGCGUUGCUCGGAAUCACUGGGCGUAAAGGGUGCGUAGGCGGGUCUUUAAGUCAGGGGUGAAAUCCUGGAGCUCAACUCCAGAACUGCCUUUGAUACUGAGGAUCUUGAGUUCGGGAGAGGUGAGUGGAACUGCGAGUGUAGAGGUGAAAUUCGUAGAUAUUCGCAAGAACACCAGUGGCGAAGGCGGCUCACUGGCCCGAUACUGACGCUGAGGCACGAAAGCGUGGGGAGCAAACAGGAUUAGAUACCCCAGUAGUCC
This 744-nucleotide ribosomal RNA is filed under the name uncultured bacterium. RNAcentral's name for it is "bacterial SSU rRNA". It matches the Rfam family "Bacterial small subunit ribosomal RNA", at positions 8 to 796 of the family's 1533-position model. The record is from RNAcentral.